RNAcentral lists this unclassified non-coding RNA (323 nucleotides) under uncultured fungus. Its description in RNAcentral is "partial contains 5.8S ribosomal RNA and internal transcribed spacer 2". The stretch from base 1 to 133 matches the Rfam family "5.8S ribosomal RNA", at positions 22 to 154 of the family's 154-position model. Lineage: Eukaryota; Fungi. The record is from RNAcentral.
UGGUUCUGGCAUCGAUGAAGAACGCAGCGAAAUGCGAUAAGUAAUGCGAAUUGCAGAAUUCAGUGAGUCAUCGAAUCUUUGAACGCACAUUGCGCCCUUUGGUAUUCCGAAGGGCAUGCCUGUUCGAGCGUCAUUAUCAACCCUCAAGCCUGGCUUGCUGUUGGACCUUCGUCGUCAAAGACGGGUCUCAAAGACAAUGACGGAGUCGGUCAGACCCUAGAUGCAACGAGCUCUUGUAGCACGCAUUGAAGGGGAUGGCGGUUCCAGUCUUAAACCAAAUAUUUCAUCAGGUUGACCUCGGAUCAGGUAGGAAUACCCGCUGA